AGCGAACGCUGGCGGCAUGCCUAACACAUGCAAGUCGCACGGGGGGGCUUCGGCCUCCCAGUGGCGGACGGGUGAGGAACGCGUAGGGACCUGUCGAGGGGUGGGGGAUAACCGCGGGAAACUGCGGCUAAUACCGCAUGACGCCGCGGCGUGACAGCCGGGGCCAAAGGCGAAAGCCGCCCGCCGAGGGGCCUGCGUCCGAUUAGCUGGUUGGCGGGGUAGCGGCCCACCAAGGCGUCGAUCGGUAGCUGGUCUGAGAGGGUGAUCAGCCACACCGGGACUGAGACACGGCCCGGACUCCUGCGGGAGGCAGCAGUGGGGAAUAUUGGACAAUGGGCGCAAGCCUGAUCCAGCAAUGCCGCGUGGGUGAAGAAGGUCUUCGGAUUGUAAAGCCCUUUCGGCGGGGACGAUGGUGACGGUACCCGCAGAAGAAGCCCCGGCUAACUUCGUG
Molecule: ribosomal RNA, 451 nt
Filed under: uncultured bacterium
Lineage: Bacteria
Description: partial 16S ribosomal RNA
Rfam family: Bacterial small subunit ribosomal RNA
Source: RNAcentral